UUAACUCAAAUUUGUAUGGAGCUGGAUCGUUUGCCAACGUUUGCCGCUAGGGGCGCUGUUCCAACUGCAUACAAAUUUGAGUUA
This 84-nucleotide microRNA precursor is filed under the name Bombyx mori (domestic silkworm). Its description in RNAcentral is "mir-2807 microRNA precursor family". It matches the Rfam family "mir-2807 microRNA precursor family". Lineage: Eukaryota; Metazoa; Arthropoda; Insecta; Lepidoptera; Bombycidae. The record is from Rfam by way of RNAcentral.